UAUGGCGACCGGCGCACGGGUGAGUAACACGUAUCCAACCUGCCGAUGGCUCGGGGAUAGCCUUUCGAAAGAAAGAUUAAUACCCGAUGGCAUAGUUCUUCCGCAUGGUAGAACUAUUAAAGAAUUUCGGUCAUCGAUGGGGAUGCGUUCCAUUAGGUUGUUGGCGGGGUAACGGCCCACCAAGCCUUCGAUGGAUAGGGGUUCUGAGAGGAAGGUCCCCCACAUUGGAACUGAGACACGGUCCAA
Molecule: ribosomal RNA, 246 nt
Filed under: uncultured bacterium
Lineage: Bacteria
Description: partial 16S ribosomal RNA
Rfam family: Bacterial small subunit ribosomal RNA
Source: RNAcentral